CCCCCAAACUUCUACAUUCAUCUCUAUAUAUUCCCCGCCAGAUCACUCUCUCUCUCAAAGGACCAACUUUUUCGCGAACUCUUCCCCCUCCUCCUCCACCCUCUUUGGAAACAAAAGAAAAUUUUUUCGAUUUUCUUUCUCUCUUUGAAGGUAUCGUUCAGAGAAUCGCGCCCAAUUUUAUCAAUCGCUCGGUUCGAAGAAUAACCGUGCUGCCGACGAAGGUCCGAGGCUUUUUCGAGUUCUGAUUGCGUUAUCCGCUAGCAAAUUAGGGUUAGGGUUCUUUUUUGGAUUUUGAUUAGAGGCCUUCGAAUUGGUGUGCGUUGUACUUUUUUCGAUUAUAGUCGUAUUUGAAUUAAGGGCUAGAUGAAUUUCGUUUUUUCUUUUGUUUAGGUAUUGUUAUUAUUAUAAUUAUUACUGCUGGUGCUUUGUAUUUUCCGCCCAAUACUGUAUAAUUGACGAUUAUUGCAUUGUUAUUUCUCGAUUCAGUAUUUUUUCCGAUUCGAAUUUUAUCUGGAAAAAAAGAAGAGAAGAAAAGUACACCUAAAAAUUAUUCUGGAUAAAAUUGUGCUUAAACAAUCCAAUUGAUUGAGAAAAGAAAAAGAAAGAAAAAAAGUAAAAAAAAGUUUUUUUGUGAAAAAUCAGUCCUAAUGGGAAGCAAUAACGGACAACGAUUGGGCAUAACGGAGCCCAUAUCCCUGGGAGGGCCAUCGGAGUUUGACGUCAUCAAGACCCGCGAGCUUGAAAAGUAUUUGCAAGAAGCAAAUUUGUAUGAGAGUCAAGAGGAGGCUGUUAGUAGAGAGGAAGUACUGGGGAGACUAGACCAGAUUGUGAAGACUUGGGCUAAGAAAAUUAGCCGUGUGAAAGGGUUGAAUGAGCAAUUGGUGCUAGAAGCAAAUGCAAAGAUAUUUACCUUCGGUUCUUAUCGGCUUGGGGUGCAUGGUCCUGGAGCGGAUAUAGACACACUUUGCGUUGGACCUAGGCAUGCAACAAGAGAGGAAGACUUUUUUGGUGAGCUGCAUCAGAUGCUUUUAGAGAUGCCUGAAGUAACAGAAUUGCACCCUGUGCCUGAUGCUCAUGUCCCAGUGAUGAAAUUCAAAUUUAAUGGUGUUUCUAUAGACCUUCUUUAUGCCAAACUCUCUCUUUGGGUCAUUCCUGAGGACUUGGAUAUUUCUCAAGACUCAAUACUGCAGAAUGCAGAUGAACAGACAGUUCGUAGUCUCAAUGGUUGCAGAGUUACUGACCAGAUUCUGCGUUUGGUUCCUAAUAUUCAGAAUUUCCGGACAACAUUGAGAUGCAUGAGAUAUUGGGCAAAGCGUCGUGGUGUUUAUUCCAAUGUUGCAGGAUUUCUUGGUGGUAUAAAUUGGGCAUUGCUUGUGGCUCGUAUUUGUCAGCUAUACCCUAAUGCACUGCCCAAUAUGCUGGUAUCUCGGUUCUUCAGGGUUUAUACCCAGUGGCGUUGGCCAAAUCCAGUAAUGCUCUGUGCUAUAGAGGAAGGAUCACUUGGUCUUCAAGUUUGGGAUCCUAGACGACAUCAUAAGGAUAGGUACCAUUUGAUGCCUAUAAUUACCCCUGCGUAUCCAUGUAUGAACUCCAGCUACAAUGUGUCGGUGAGUACUCUGCGAAUUAUGACUGAUGAAUUUCAGAGGGGGCAUGACAUUUGUGAGGCUAUGGAGCAAAGUAAAGUUGAUUGGGAUACCCUUUUUGAGCCUUACGCUUUUUUUGAAGCAUACAAACAUUAUCUACAGAUAGAUAUCUCUGCAGAAAAUGCUGAUGAUUUGAGAAAGUGGAAAGGCUGGGUUGAGUCUCGCCUCCGUCAACUCACAUUGAAGAUUGAGAGGUAUACUUACAAUAUGCUUCAGUGCCACCCGCACCCAGGAGACUUUUCUGAUAAGACAAAGCCUUUUCAUUGCUCUUAUUUCAUGGGUUUGCAAAGGAAACAAGGGAUUAAUGAAGGUGAACAAUUUGAUAUUAGGUUAACUGUGGACGAGUUUAAGCACUCUGUCAACAAGUACACAUUAUGGAAACCUGGAAUGGAGAUCCGUGUAACCCAUGUUAAACGUAGGGGUUUACCUAAUUUUGUAUUCCCUGGUGGUGUUCGACCUUCCCGUCCAUCAAAAGGGACUUGGGAGAGCAGGAGGGUCACAGAGCUUAAGGUUCCAAACCAUGCUAAAUUGGACGGAGCAGAUGAUGGAGAGAAGAGAAAGCGGGUGGAUGAUACUGUAGAUGGUGACUUGAGACCUACUAAGUACUUUGCUGGUGUACCUUCAAUUAGUGGGGAAGUUCUCAAGGGUAGCCCUCCUCUAAGUACCAUGAGUUCAUCGUCUUUAAAUUCAAAGGUUGUUCAUAUGGAGGUGAAUGGGUUUGAGGAAUCAACCAGAGAAAAAGCCCAAAAUAAUUUUACUGAGGGCUUAAGGAAUUUAGCAGAGGAUUCUUCUCUGAAUGAGGAGGUAGAUGGAUCGUUGAAAUCUGAUUUCACUGAUCCUUCCAGUAAAGCCUUAUCAGCAGAUACAUCAAGCAUGAAACAGGCUGAAAAGCUUGCUAUUGAGAAGAUUAUGUCUGGUCCAUAUGUUGCUCACCAGGCUAUUCCACAAGAAUUUGAUGAGCUUGAAGAUGAUCCUGAAUUAAAUAAUCAAGUCAAAGAUAUCGGUGUGAACACACAGGGCAGAUCUGUGGCUUCCUCUACAGUAAAUGCAAGCAUAGCAGCAACAGCAGCAUCUAUCAAUGGAGGUGGAACUUCCACUGCUUUAUGCGCUAAUGGGGGCUUGGAGGAGCUUGAGGAGGUGAUAAAUUGAAGGUUGGGGAAGAACAUGGGCAGCUUUUAGAUGCUGUGGACAGAGAAAGAAGACUUUACCCCUGCUGAACUUGCGGUGCCACUUGCAAACGAGAUCCAUCCUGCACCAGUGCCACAGCGAAAACCACUAAUCAGGUUGAGCUUCACCUCCUUGAACAAAGUGGCUGGGAAAAGCACGUGAAGGGAUAUGAAGUAGUAGCUUAAGCAAGGCUGGUCAUGGCGUUCUGUUCAAAUCUGUGUAUAAUAAGAGCUUAACAUGGAUUCUUCUUAUUCUACUUCUGUAAUAAUAAAUUUAUGUAGUUAACAUGUCUUCUAUCCUUUUUUA
Mangifera indica (mango) is the source of this 3116-nucleotide RNA transcript. It is a transcript of the gene named nuclear poly(A) polymerase 1, with no coding region annotated. The record is from RefSeq and is a predicted model, not a curated record. NCBI's taxonomy places the organism in Eukaryota, Viridiplantae, Streptophyta, Magnoliopsida, Sapindales, Anacardiaceae. The transcript has 13 exons.